GACGAACGCUGGCGGCGCGCUUAACACAUGCAAGUCGAACGGAAAGGCCUGCUUUCCCUUGUGGAUUGCGGGUACUCGAGUGGCGAACGGGUGAGUAACACGUGAGUGAUCUGCCCCCAACUUGGGUAUAAGCCUGGGAAACUGGGUCUAAUUCCCGAUAGGACUGCAGGGUGGUGCCUGUGGUGGAAAACGAUUUUCUAGUGGUUGGGGAUGAGCUCGCGGCCUAUCAGCUUGUUGGUGGGGUAAUGGCCUACCAAGGCGGCGACGGGUAGCCGGCCUGAGAGGGUGGACGGCCACAUUGGGACUGGGAUACGGCCCAGACUCCUACGGGAGGCAGCAGUGGGGACUAUUGCACAAUGGGCGGAAGCCUGAUGCAGCGACGCCGCGUGGGGGAUGACGGCCUUCGGGUUGUAAACUCCUUUCGACCGCGAGGAAGCCACCUGGUUGGAAGGGUGGUGACGGUAGUGGUAGAAGAAGCACCGGCUAACUACGUG
This 494-nucleotide ribosomal RNA is filed under the name uncultured bacterium. Its description in RNAcentral is "partial 16S ribosomal RNA". It matches the Rfam family "Bacterial small subunit ribosomal RNA", at positions 28 to 507 of the family's 1533-position model. The record is from RNAcentral.